RNAcentral lists this ribosomal RNA (265 nucleotides) under uncultured bacterium. RNAcentral's name for it is "partial 16S ribosomal RNA". The record is from RNAcentral.
CUGCUGCCUCCCGUAGGAGUUUGGGCCGUGUCUCAGUCCCAAUGUGGCCGUCCACCCUCUCAGGCCGGCUACUGAUCGUCGCCUUGGUGGGCCGUCACCCCGCCAACAAGCUAAUCAGACGCGGGUCCAUCUUACACCACCGGAGUUUUUCACACAAAUCCAUGCGGCUUCGUGCGCUUAUGCGGUAUUAGCACCUAUUUCUAAGUGUUAUCCCCCAGUGUAAGGCAGGUUACCCACGCGUUACUCACCCGUCCGCCACUAAGUA